AACGAACGCUGGCGGCAUGCCUAACACAUGCAAGUCGAACGAGACCUUUGGGUCUAGUGGCGCAAGGGUGCGUAACGCGUGGGAAUCUGCCCUUGGGUUCGGAAUAACAGUGAGAAAUUGCUGCUAAUACCGGAUGAUGUCUUCGGACCAAAGAUUUAUCGCCCAGGGAUGAGCCCGCGUAGGAUUAGCUAGUUGGUGGGGUAAUGGCCUACCAAGGCGACGAUCCUUAGCUGGUCUGAGAGGAUGAUCAGCCACACUGGGACUGAGACACGGCCCAGACUCCUACGGGAGGCAGCAGUGGGGAAUAUUGGACAAUGGGCGCAAGCCUGAUCCAGCAAUGCCGCGUGAGUGAUGAAGGCCUUAGGGUUGUAAAGCUCUUUUACCAGGGAUGAUAAUGACAGUACCUGGAGAAUAAGCUCCGGCUAACUCCGUG
Molecule: ribosomal RNA, 433 nt
Filed under: uncultured bacterium
Lineage: Bacteria
Description: partial 16S ribosomal RNA
Rfam family: Bacterial small subunit ribosomal RNA
Source: RNAcentral